Molecule: long non-coding RNA, 789 nt
Organism: Xiphophorus couchianus (Monterrey platyfish)
Lineage: Eukaryota; Metazoa; Chordata; Actinopteri; Cyprinodontiformes; Poeciliidae
Exons: 2
Source: RefSeq, a predicted model, not a curated record
AGAUUAACUGUAUUAAGCACUAAAAAUAAUCAUUUUUCCUCAACAAUAGCUAUAAAAUUGUCGCCGUGAAGAUGUACAACUUGCUCUGUUUUACCCUGUGUCUGGAACAGAAUAAUCUAGUGCAAGAUAACAUGUGUUUUAGUUAGUGAUUGUCAUUAGCACUGCAACUGUGAUGAAGUGUUUUGCCCCCACCCCUUAGAGUUGCAGUGUUCUCUGUGAUAGGGACUCGGAAAGUAAUAAAAAGAGAGGAGCGGACAAAUGUGUUUUCAGAGCGGUUGGAGAUGUGUGACUGGAAACACAUCUCUAUCCAUUCUCCUCGCGAGAUAAAAAGAAUCUAACUCUUUUGUCUUUUCUGUGUUUGUUUAAUUUGUCUUUAAUAGGUGUCAAACCUGACAAAAACAAUGCAUAUAUUUUCCAGUGUUUAUCUCACAUUAGGCCCACGAUGGUGCUCCAAAUGUCUGCUUUACAAGGCUUAUUCUACCUAUCCUGGUUUCAUUUGUUUUAAUACUUUAGUCAGGUAGACUCAGCAAGUACCCAGCAUUAGGCUUUAUGUCAAACCCAAAUAUGCAAAUUGUGAGUCACACUGGCAGAAAAAGAGACAGGUGGAUAGCAAUAGGUGUUUCAUCAUCAAAGUCCUAAUCAUGUUAAAUUCAAAUAAUUUAGACAAUUGUACAAUUCACACAUCUGCAACACAGUAGUGUCUCCAGUUCAGUCAGUGCUUUGAUGAGGGUUUAACACACAAAUCCUAAUAUUGCCAUCAAGACUAAACUCACCUGCCUGAAGCCGUCU